RNAcentral lists this long non-coding RNA (376 nucleotides) under Elaeis guineensis (African oil palm). RNAcentral's name for it is "long non-coding RNA (EGUI_LNC050429)". Lineage: Eukaryota; Viridiplantae; Streptophyta; Magnoliopsida; Arecales; Arecaceae. The record is from RNAcentral.
CAGAACUUAUCACCUUUUCACAAAUUGAUGAUCUUCAUUAUUGGUAAGCAUUAUAUGAAGCUCUCACUGAUGUCGAGCAGCCACACAAGCAUCUGACCUCUACGGAUGGUCUACACGAAGCCCCUCGGACCGAUCAGCUCUCUGCGGAAGUGCUAGCUCGUGCGGUCGGCUUCUGAUGGCAGAUCUGACUUGAUCUUCUUCUUCGAUCACAUCAAAUCUUUCUGAUAUUGAAGAUGGAUCAAAGAAGAAUACUGGAUGGUGGAGAAAAUUUAGAUGAAGACUCUCUUCUCUUUGAUUUUUUUCUCACUCAAAAACCUAGAACAGUUCUAGGUCUCUCACCCAAGAGGAGAAUGGUCUCCUCUUUUGUUCACGCCAA